This 131-nucleotide non-coding RNA is filed under the name Companilactobacillus ginsenosidimutans. RNAcentral's name for it is "Lactobacillus ginsenosidimutans FMN sequence". It matches the Rfam family "FMN riboswitch aptamer (RFN element)". Rfam says of the family: The RFN element is a highly conserved domain that is found frequently in the 5'-untranslated regions of prokaryotic mRNAs that encode for flavin mononucleotide (FMN) biosynthesis and transport proteins. This element is a metabolite-dependent riboswitch that directly binds FMN in the absence of proteins. In Bacillus subtilis, the riboswitch most likely controls gene expression by causing premature transcription termination within the 5' untranslated region of the ribDEAHT operon and precluding access to the ribosome-binding site of ypaA mRNA. Lineage: Bacteria; Bacillati; Bacillota; Bacilli; Lactobacillales; Lactobacillaceae. The record is from RNAcentral.
AGAUUUCUUCGGGGCAGGGUGAAAUUCCCGACCGACGGUAACAACAUAAGUUGAAGUCCGUGACCCGCGUAAGCGGUUGACCCAGUGAGAUUCUGGGACCGACAGUAAAGUCUGGAUGGGAGAAGAAGAAA